This 300-nucleotide ribosomal RNA is filed under the name uncultured Lactobacillus sp. Its description in RNAcentral is "bacterial SSU rRNA". It matches the Rfam family "Bacterial small subunit ribosomal RNA", at positions 496 to 795 of the family's 1533-position model. Lineage: Bacteria; Bacillati; Bacillota; Bacilli; Lactobacillales; Lactobacillaceae. The record is from RNAcentral.
GUUAAUUGGGGGCCAGGAUGCGGGGUAAGUCGUAGGGGGCAAGCGGUUGUCGGAUUUAUUGGGCGUAAAGCUAGCUCAGUCGGUUUCUUAAUUCGGAUGGGAAGGCCCACGGCUCAACCGUGGAAGGUCAUUGGAAACUGGGGAACUUGAGUGCAGAAGAGGAGAGUGGAAUUCCAUGUGUAGCGGGGAAAUGCGUAGAUAUAUGGAGGAACACCAGUGGCGAAGGCGACUCUCUGGUCUGUAACUGACGCUGAGGCUCGAAAGCGUGGGGAGCAAACAGGAUUAGAUACCCUAGUAGUC